AAGAUGGCUGCCAGGUGCGGUGGCUAAGCCUGGGGACAUCUGAAGCCGGUGCCGACCAUCAGGGCCGAGUUGCGACGAGAGAGUGUUAUUAAGUCGAGUUGGCCAGGUCCCUAAGUCUUGGAUGGCGAGCUGUAGAUAGGCCUUGAGCCAGAGCCCAAGGAUCUCCACCUGGAUGGCGA
This is a long non-coding RNA of Entelurus aequoreus (snake pipefish), 179 nucleotides long. RefSeq lists it as uncharacterized. The transcript has 3 exons. The record is from RefSeq and is a predicted model, not a curated record. Lineage: Eukaryota; Metazoa; Chordata; Actinopteri; Syngnathiformes; Syngnathidae.